RNAcentral lists this ribosomal RNA (228 nucleotides) under uncultured bacterium. RNAcentral's name for it is "partial 16S ribosomal RNA". It matches the Rfam family "Bacterial small subunit ribosomal RNA", at positions 523 to 747 of the family's 1533-position model. The record is from RNAcentral.
AUACGGUAGGGGGCGAGCGUUAUUCGGAAUUACUGGGUGUAAAGGGUAUGUAGGCGGCCCUUCAAGUCGCGUGUCAAAGUCCAGUGCUCAACGCUGGGUGUGCACGCGAUACUGACGGGCUUGAGGGCUGGAGAGGUGAGCGGAAUUCCCGGUGUAGUAGGUAAAAUACGUAGAGAUCGGGAGGAACACCAACGGCGCAGGCGGUUCACUAGACUAGUUUCUGACGCU